Molecule: non-coding RNA, 18 nt
Filed under: Arabidopsis thaliana (thale cress)
Lineage: Eukaryota; Viridiplantae; Streptophyta; Magnoliopsida; Brassicales; Brassicaceae
Source: RNAcentral
UUACAUAUAAACUAGGUU